AUUUUCUCCGGGAAGCAAAACGAGAAAUGAGAGGAGGCUUGAUAUGGGCUACAGCAGAUGACUUGGCAAAGAAUAGAGGAAGAGUUCUGUCUUUGUAUAGGCAAAUCUUGAGGAGCCUUAAUUCACCUGCUUUGCCAUUUAGCUUAGCAGUUAGACUUCAAAAGAAAGCUGAGGUCCGUGCCAUGUUCAUGUUGGGUUCCGAGGAGCAAUCUCUACAUAACAUUCAAGAUCUUAUUGAUGCUGCUGAAUACUCUCUUUCCGUUUUACGAAAAGGCGAAAUUCCAUAGCACUUUCAAGUUUAUCAAUAAGCCUGGACAUCUUGCAAGCUGUUAUUGUG
This 337-nucleotide unclassified non-coding RNA is filed under the name Hevea brasiliensis (rubber tree). Lineage: Eukaryota; Viridiplantae; Streptophyta; Magnoliopsida; Malpighiales; Euphorbiaceae. The record is from RNAcentral.